CCCACACUGCCUGUGGACUCAGCAGCUGUGCAUCUCUCCGUCCCUCCCACACACACACAUUCACACACACAUACACACACACUGGAUCUUCAUCUGUGAAGGCGAAGUCUUUCGCAAUGAAUCCAUGGCAGCUUCGAUCGAGCGGUGAGCUGGAGCACCUACAUACAGGCCACUCCUUGAUGUGACUGAAAAGAGGCCUUUUCCAGCACUCUGAAAGGAGAGUGGGGCUGUGGAUUUACCUCCCACACACCUGGGCACCCAGAGUACAUGCACUGCGAGCACCCCUUCCUCAUCCCCUCUCCAGCAUCUCCCUUCCCAUGUGACACUUUGGUGUGCUGUGCUGGGCAGGAACAGGGCUGGGGAAGACUUGGGACAGGCCUUCUUCACAGGCCAAGCUGGAGACCAGAAGCAAAGUUCUGCUGGGGGGUGAAGAGAGAAGGAGAAAGAGGAAGCCCUGAGGCUAUAGAAACACCCUGA
RNAcentral lists this long non-coding RNA (477 nucleotides) under Apteryx rowi (Okarito brown kiwi). RNAcentral describes it as "lncRNA (ENSARWG00000018034.1)". The record is from RNAcentral. Lineage: Eukaryota; Metazoa; Chordata; Aves; Apterygiformes; Apterygidae.